RNAcentral lists this unclassified non-coding RNA (240 nucleotides) under soil metagenome. Its description in RNAcentral is "partial contains 5.8S ribosomal RNA, internal transcribed spacer 2, and large subunit ribosomal RNA". The record is from RNAcentral.
AACACUGUUAACCUGCGGUACCUGCGGAAGGAUCAUUACAGAGUUCGUGCCCUCGCGGGUAGAUCUCCCACCCUUGUGUAUUCUCUACAUCUUGUUGCUUUGGCAGGCCGUUGGUUCGCCAACCACCGGCUCGCGGGCUGGUGCGUGCCUGCCAGAGGACCUCUCAAACUCGGUUUGUUAGUGUCGUCUGAGUACCAUAACAAUCGUUAAAACUUUCAGCAACGGAUCUCAGAUCGGAAG